This 251-nucleotide unclassified non-coding RNA is filed under the name Hevea brasiliensis (rubber tree). Lineage: Eukaryota; Viridiplantae; Streptophyta; Magnoliopsida; Malpighiales; Euphorbiaceae. The record is from RNAcentral.
AAUAAAAUCAUAUAGAAAAGAAUAUUUCCCUCCAUCCAGAUCCUCUUGACAACAUAGAAAUCCCCUCACCCCCUAAGAAAUAUUCAAGAAAAAGAAUGAUUGUUUUGAAGUUUGUUCUCAUAGUUCAAUACUUAUGUCCCAAAGAUACAACUCUUGCUCUGGUACCCUUAAGUCAAUGGUGAUCAAACCAGCCUCAUCAUAUUGGAACUCUACCUCCUCUAAGUCGACGGUUACUCGCUUUGGUUUGGUCG